AUCAAAACCAAACGGCGUCYUCGCGGCGCCGUCCCCCUGGUGAUUCUGAAUAACUUUGUGCUGAUCGCACGGCCUCSCGCCGGCGACGUAUCUUUCUAAGGUGUGCCCUAUCAACUGUCGACUGUGGCAUAGACGCCCACAGUGGUUUUGACGGGUAACGGGGAAUCAGGGUUCGAUUCCGGAGAGGGAGCCUGAGAGACGGCUACCACUUCUACGGAAGGCAGCAGGCACGCAAAUUACCCAYUGGCCGCRGGCCGAGGUAGUGACGAAAAAUAACGAUACCGGACUCAUCCGAGGCCCGGUAAUCGGAAUGAGUACACUUUAAAUCCUUUAACGAGGAACCAUUGGAGGGCAAGUCUGGUGCCAGCAGCCGCGGUAAUUCCAGCUCCAAUAGUUUAUGCCAAUUUUGUUGCGGUUAAAAAGCUCGUAGUUGGAUUUCGGCGCGCARGGGGCGGUUCGAUCUCUGUCGUUACUGCCCCAUUUGCGCGUGUGUUCGCGUCGGAGGCUGCGGGGUGCUCUUAAUCGAGUGUCGCGCCGCGCCGUCAGGUUUACUUUGAAAAAAUUAGAGUGCUCAAG
Molecule: ribosomal RNA, 576 nt
Filed under: uncultured eukaryote
Lineage: Eukaryota
Description: bacterial SSU rRNA
Rfam family: Eukaryotic small subunit ribosomal RNA
Source: RNAcentral